Long non-coding RNA from Thunnus maccoyii (southern bluefin tuna), 1575 nucleotides. RefSeq lists it as uncharacterized. The record is from RefSeq and is a predicted model, not a curated record. Lineage: Eukaryota; Metazoa; Chordata; Actinopteri; Scombriformes; Scombridae. The transcript has 4 exons.
GGUGAAUCUGCUAGGCAGAGGUCAUAAAACUACAGUGCCUGUAACUUCAUGUUGCAAGUAAUAAGACAAAUGAACCAGUUGCCAGACCCUCCUACAUGCAUGGCACACCUUCCAGGCAUUACCGCAACUUAGUCAGCUGGUGCUGGGGCUACCUAGGAAGGAAAGUCAGGGUUGUCAUCCUGACCUGUCCUGUAGUCUGGAUACACGAAGAAUUUCCUGAUUGGGUUGGUUACAGAAACCCAAAGAGUUUUGACUCUAAAAGCACUUGGUCCACACAACACCAAGUCACAGAAGUGUCCUUUCCUCCCAAGAAGCCAGAUGCAUGGUGGCAGAAAAAGCAUUGCUGACGUCAGAACAAUGCCACACUCCCAAUAUUUAAGUGCAAUAUGUAAAGGAAAGUAGACUACUAAUUACAAAAUUAUAGUCAAAGAAAAAAACAGUAAACCUACCUAUAAUAUUAAUUUUCUAAAACUGUUUUGUCUUCUGUUGUGUUUUGCUGAUUGGUGAGAUGAAAGAAAAGGUAAUGGCCAUCAGCUCUUGCCCAAAGAUGAUCCAAUGCUGUGAAGUGGAAAGCGAGGACCUCAGCAUUUUCUUAGCAGAUGAAACCACGCAGAUCAAGCUUCAACUCUGGGACAACUAGAUAUUGGCAGUGAAGACACAGGCCUCCUAUGCGUUCACUAAUUUGUCUGUCAGAGAGUAUGAAGGUGAGAAGUUCCUCACAACAAUCAAAAAUUCCACUAUUGCUGAACCCUGUCACUGUCACUGACCUAACGGUCCCAUCUCUGAUCCUGGAGAAACAAAAGUCUCUCCAGACUGUCAGAACUGAGGUUGUUGCUGUGAAACUGGUGAACAACUUCAACUUCUGCUCCUGCUAUAAGAGGCAAUCCAUCUCUUUCAACCCAAAACAGCCCUUCGGUUGCUGCAAGGGAUACUGGCUUGUACGAAAAACCUUGCUGUUCCUGGCUAGAACCAGCAGAGUCCUGCAUAUCAUCAUUGAUAGCGUGGAAACUGCAUUGACCCUGAACGCUCAACGCUGAACACUCACCCCUGUGUCUCACUUUUAGAAUAACAACUUAGGAGUAAUGGUUGUAAGUCCUAUAAGAUUUUCAUGCUUUCCAAUAGAAUUCUUUUAGAUCCCUAUAAAUUUCUAAAAAUCCUAUUGGAAUUCUAUAGGAAAAAGUUUUGGUUCUUUUAGGAUUUUCUCAGUCCUAUUGGACAUCUGUUUUUUUAUUAUUAUUACUGGUUCCAAUAAACUCCCUAAGGAUACCUAUGAAUUUCUAAAAAUCCUAUAGGAAAUCUGUUUUUUUCUAUUGGAUUAUACAUAUAUUUUAAAUGUCUUACAAGACUUUUAUUCAAGAAUUACCAAUGAUACUCAGUCCUUAUUUAAAAUCAGAUUUUAAUCACUUUAACCACACUUGGUUUCAGUGAUCAGAAUUAAAGAUUUGAACAGACUAUAAGGGGCAAAUUCACAAAAGGAUUUGCAGCUUUUGCUAAAUGUGCACAAAUGAGACAAAAAGAAACUGUGUAAUUCAUAAAGCACCUGCAAAGGGUGAAAUGCACCCCAAGCUGUGCUGC